UACGUAGGGUGCAAGCGUUAAUCGGAAUUACUGGGCGUAAAGCGUGCGCAGGCGGUUAUGCAAGUCAGAUGUGAAAUCCCCGGGCUCAACCUGGGAACUGCAUUUGUGACUGCAUAGCUAGAGUACGGUAGAGGGGGAUGGAAUUCCGCGUGUAGCAGUGAAACGCGUAGAUAUGCGGAGGAACACCGAUGGCGAAGGCAAUCCCCUGGACCUGUACUGACGCUCAUGCACGAAAGCGUGGGGAGCAAACAGG
RNAcentral lists this ribosomal RNA (253 nucleotides) under uncultured bacterium. Its description in RNAcentral is "partial 16S ribosomal RNA". It matches the Rfam family "Bacterial small subunit ribosomal RNA", at positions 524 to 776 of the family's 1533-position model. The record is from RNAcentral.